AUACGUAGGGGGCGAGCGUUGUCCGGAAUGAUUGGGCGUAAAGGGCGCGUAGGCGGCGCGGUAAGUCUGGAGUGAAAGUCCUGCUUUCAAGGUGGGAAUUGCUUUGGAUACUGCCGCGCUUGAGUGCAGGAGAGGUUAUCGGAAUUCCCGGUGUAGCGGUGAAAUGCGUAGAGAUCGGGAGGAACACCAGUGGCGAAGGCGGGGAACUGGACUGCAACUGGCGCUGAGGCGCGAAAGUGUGGGGAGCAAACAGGAUUAGAUACCCUGGUAGUCCACACUGUAAACGAUGAAUGCUAGGUGUAAGAGGUAUCGACCCCUUUUGUGCCGGAGUCAACACAAUAAGCAUUCCGCCUGGGGAGUACGGCCGCAAGGUUGAAACUCAAAGGAAUUGACGGGG
Molecule: ribosomal RNA, 397 nt
Filed under: uncultured bacterium
Lineage: Bacteria
Description: partial 16S ribosomal RNA
Rfam family: Bacterial small subunit ribosomal RNA
Source: RNAcentral